This is a long non-coding RNA of Osmerus eperlanus (European smelt), 296 nucleotides long. RefSeq lists it as uncharacterized. The record is from RefSeq and is a predicted model, not a curated record. The transcript has 3 exons. Lineage: Eukaryota; Metazoa; Chordata; Actinopteri; Osmeriformes; Osmeridae.
GGUUGGUCAUAAAGGGAGUAAUACUCAACCUCAUCCUGCUCUUCAGACAGUUCUCCAUCUUCUUCAGCUCCAUCAUCAACCGUAAGAGGUGCGUGAUCACGUUUCUGUCUGGACUUGGACUCCCUGGGAUGUAAUUCUUUGACAGUGGAUGGGAAAAAUCCACAUGGCAAAAUGUACCCAGCAUCUCAAGAAGUGUCCUGUUAAACCGCUCCACAGGAUUUCCACUUGGGUGGCUCCAGUGAAAGAUAGUCCAUACAGACCAACUGCAAAGGACGGCUUGUUUUUAUAUUCACCAG